This is a long non-coding RNA of Panicum virgatum (switchgrass), 1768 nucleotides long. RefSeq lists it as uncharacterized. NCBI's taxonomy places the organism in Eukaryota, Viridiplantae, Streptophyta, Magnoliopsida, Poales, Poaceae. The record is from RefSeq and is a predicted model, not a curated record. The transcript is spliced from 3 exons.
CUUUGUGUGCUUAUAUACAUUUAUAUAUAUAUUGCCAGAUGCGUUGGUACUCACUUGGACAACACCGCCUUGCUUCACUAGUAAUGUCUAGAGGGUCGUCAAGCGGAAAGGGUUUCGGGACUGGGAGAGGAAAGGGGGUACAAAAGAGACCUCCUAUUGUGUGGGAUAGACUGGUUGGUCCUGAAUCUUAUCCGGAAGCAGUGUUUGAGUUUCUAGUAGAGAGCAAGACUGAUUUCUGCCCCAACAAUCCUCUCUGAGGAUACGAUAACUGCAAAGAAGAUUGGCCAAAAUGCAAGCACGGUGAGGACUGCUUAGUGCAGAUGACGACCGAGGGUUCCAAAGGAGGCCAAUGUUUCUUCAAAUGCCCGCGUGCAUGGUCUUCCAAGGCUCCGAAAAACUGCAGGUUUGUUAGGUGGGUGGAUCCUCCUGCUAUUCAUCCUCAUCAUGAGUACAUCGAAUACCUUCACAACCGGAUCUUCGAUCUAGAAUUGAGUUUCCCUAACGGUGAAAACGACACGGAAGACGAUGACAAUAGCAAUGAUGCAGUUUCACAUGAGACCAUCUGCACUGAUCCUAAUUGCAACUUCCCUUGUCACAACAACAAGGGGCCUCCGCCACCGUCGUCGGAACCUACAAUUCAAGGAUACUAUGGCGAAGGUGCCACACAAUUUGCUACCCCGGCCGCGUUUUUUGUUGCCUGGCGCAAAAUCUCGACAUCACAGGACCUAGUCACCAUUUGGAUUCAGAAACAAAUUCAGCAACAACUUCGUUUUUUUUAAAAAAGGUCAGCAAUAACUAUUGGAUCUCUCCAUUUUCUUUUUUCAUAGGACAGAGAAUCCCUCCAUUUGAAGUGGUCGCUUCGACGAUAGGGUAUGCUUGAAACACAGAGGACUCAGUAAUGCCAGCUUUGAGACCACAUGAGAGUCCUUGGGGAUAAAAUAAAAUGGAAGGGUAUUGCCUUGCUGUUUCAAGGGAAAAUCCUAUGUGAGGCAAGCCCUUGCUGUAAUACAAAUUUUCAGCAGGUUAGAGCGAUUGUUGCCGGUAUAAUUAGGGUUUAGAGCUGAGAUUUGCCCUAGUCUCUACUUUCAGCACGUAGUUUGUUCUGCGCAGUCACUAUUGUUAAAAGUUUUACAUCUUCAUGGCAUUAUAAAAAUAUCAAUCCUUUACAUAAGUGCAGAGUUUUUUCUCAGCUUCCCCUCCCCGUAGCAACACAUGGAGUAUCAUCUAGUUAUACUAUAUUUUUUCGUUGCUUGCCCACAUUAGGUGGCUACGUUCCCUAUCAUGAACACCCAUAAGAGCAGCGCAUGCCUUCUUGAUGGCAUUCAACUCCUCAACCACACUGUCCAUCUUGAUUCUUUGCCUUGGAGAGCCCUGGCAGCAUGCUAGAGCAAGUCUAACCACAGGAUGAAUGACCAAAUCCAUGACAUCUUGGGUGUUUCCACUGUAGGUUGCACUAGCAUCCAGUAUUUCCAGUAAUUUGUUUGGAUAGGCCAUCUUCACGUGAUUGACUAGACUUGUCUCACCAAGGUUGAAACUGUCAGUUGGCCUCUUUCCGGUAAGCAUUUCAAUAGCAACACCCCAUAGCUAUAUAUGUCACCAUCCGUGGACACCCCAUACCCUGAGCCAUACUCUGAAAGCAUAUAUAAAUGAAGGAUUUAGCGGUUAACUAAUGAGUAGUAAAAGAAGUGGGUUUCACACUACAAUUUCACUUGGGUAAAUAAAACACUGAUAUUACCAUUUUUUCACUAGAGGAAAAAACUAUUGAAAA